Molecule: ribosomal RNA, 682 nt
Filed under: uncultured bacterium
Lineage: Bacteria
Description: bacterial SSU rRNA
Rfam family: Bacterial small subunit ribosomal RNA
Source: RNAcentral
CGUUGGGUCCCUUGAGGACUUAGUGACGCAGCUAACGCAAUAAGUAGACCGCCUGGGGAGUACGGCCGCAAGGUUAAAACUCAAAUGAAUUGACGGGGGCCCGCACAAGCGGUGGAGCAUGUGGUUUAAUUCGAUGCAACGCGAAGAACCUUACCUGGUCUUGACAUACACAGAAUCUUGUAGAGAUACGAGAGUGCCUUCGGGAAUUGUGAUACAGGUGCUGCAUGGCUGUCGUCAGCUCGUGUCGUGAGAUGUUGGGUUAAGUCCCGCAACGAGCGCAACCCUUGUCCUUAGUUACCAGCGGGUUAAGCCGGGAACUCUAAGGAUACUGCCAGUGACAAACUGGAGGAAGGCGGGGACGACGUCAAGUCAUCAUGGCCCUUACGACCAGGGCUACACACGUGCUACAAUGGUAGGUACAGAGGGCAGCUACACAGCGAUGUGAUGCGAAUCUCAAAAAGCCUAUCGUAGUCCAGAUUGGAGUCUGCAACUCGACUCCAUGAAGUAGGAAUCGCUAGUAAUCGCGGAUCAGAAUGCCGCGGUGAAUACGUUCCCGGGCCUUGUACACACCGCCCGUCACACCAUGGGAGUUGAUUGCACCAGAAGUGGUUAGCCGAACCUUUUAGGACGGCGAUCACCACGGUGUGGUUGAUGACUGGGGUGAAGUCGUAACAAGGUAACC